GUACACGCUGUGACUAGCAUAUCAAUAAGCGGAGGAAAAGAAACUAACAAGGAUUCCCUUAGUAACGGCGAGUGAAGCGGGAAGAGCUCAAAUUUGAAAUCUUGAGAGGUCACCUUUCACGAAUUGUAGUUUAAAGAAGUGUUUUCUGUUACGAUCGUAAUAUAAGUUCUUUGGAAUAGGACAUCACAGAGGGUGAGAAUCCCGUCUAUGAUUGCGAUUUGUAGCUUUGUGAUACACUUUCAAAGAGUCGGGUUGUUUGGGAAUGCAGCCCAAAACGGGAGGUAAAUUUCUUCUAAGGCUAAAUAUUGGCGAGAGGACCGAUAGCGAACAAGUACCGUGAGGGAAAGAUGAAAAGAACUUUGAAAAGAGAGUUAGAUAGUACGUGAAAUUGUCAAAAGGGAAGCGUUUAACACCAGUGUUGUUUUCUGAAAAUCAACCUCUGUUAGCUUUAUGCAUGUUUGUUUAGACCUAAUCAGCUAUCUUUCAUGUUCUAUUGUUUGCAGUGGUGCACUUUUCAGUUUACAGGUCAACAUCAGUUUUUUUUACCGUAAAAAAGUUAAAGAAAGGUAGCUCAUGGCUCCGGUCGUGAGUGUUAUAGUCUUUUUCCUAUGCGGUAGGAGAGACUGAGGUCUGCAGUGUAGGCUAUUUGGCUAGAUACUCAGGUGCUAUGUGAUACCAUUUCAUAAACAACUUGUUGAUUAUGUUUUGUCUAUUGCAUACUCGCUUGUACUAUCAUACCUACGCUUAGGAUGUUGAGUAGCGACAUACGCAC
This 772-nucleotide ribosomal RNA is filed under the name uncultured Neocallimastigales. Its description in RNAcentral is "partial large subunit ribosomal RNA". The stretch from base 4 to 662 matches the Rfam family "Eukaryotic large subunit ribosomal RNA", at positions 24 to 664 of the family's 3401-position model. Lineage: Eukaryota; Fungi; Neocallimastigomycota; Neocallimastigomycetes; Neocallimastigales. The record is from RNAcentral.